GACCGUGCAAAGGUAGCAUAAUCAUUUGCCUUAUAAUUGAAGGCUUGUAUGAAUGGUUUGACAAGAAUGAAUCUGUCUCUUUAUAAUUAAGUAUAAUUUUAUUUACAGGUGAAGAAGCCUGUAUUAGAUUGAAAGACAAGAAGACCCUAUCGAGCUUAAAAACAAUUAAUAAAGUUUAAAUCAUAUUAAUAUUGAAUUAAUUAUUAAAAAUUUUAGUUGGGGCGACGGAGGAACAAAUAAAGCUUCCUUAAUAUCUUUACACAUACAAGUCAUGAUCCAUACGUUUUGAUUAAAGGAAUUAGUUACCGUAGGGAUAACAGCAUUAUCUUUUUUAAGAGCUCAAAUCGAAAAAAAGGUUUGUGACCUCGAUGUUGGACCAGAAUAUCCUAAAGAUGCAGCCGUCUUUAAGGGUUGGUCUGUUCGACCAUUAAAAUUCUACGUGAUCUGAGUUCAGACCGGCGUGAGCCAGGUCAGUUUCUAUCUUCAAUUUAUGAUGUGGGCUUAGUACGAAAGGAUUAGUUCAUAGUAAAAAUUACUAAAGUUGAUAAAGUAUAAAAUAUAAUUUAGUACAUAAAUAUAAAUCAAAUUAGCAAAGAUAAUGCAAUUGACUUAGGAUCAGUAGACAUAGGUGAAACCCCUUUAUUUGAUAUAUUUAUAAAGGUGGCAGAUGAA
Molecule: ribosomal RNA, 672 nt
Filed under: Orania serotina
Lineage: Eukaryota; Metazoa; Mollusca; Gastropoda; Neogastropoda; Muricidae
Description: partial 16S ribosomal RNA
Rfam family: Bacterial large subunit ribosomal RNA (bases 1-509)
Source: RNAcentral